UACGGGGGGGAGCAAGCGUUGUUCGGAUUUACUGGGCGUAAAGGGCGCGUAGGCGGCGUGACAAGUCACUUGUGAAAUCUCCGGGCUUAACUCGGAACGGUCAAGUGAUACUGUCGUGCUAGAGUACAGAAGGGGCAACUGGAAUUCUCGGUGUAGCGGUGAAAUGCGUAGAUAUCGAGAGGAACACCAGUGGCGAAGGCGGCUCACUGGACUGGUAUUGACGCUGAGGUGCGAAAGCGUGGGGGAGCAAACAGG
Molecule: ribosomal RNA, 255 nt
Filed under: uncultured bacterium
Lineage: Bacteria
Description: partial 16S ribosomal RNA
Rfam family: Bacterial small subunit ribosomal RNA
Source: RNAcentral